This 570-nucleotide ribosomal RNA is filed under the name Metarhizium sp. 'quizhouense'. Its description in RNAcentral is "eukaryotic LSU rRNA". The stretch from base 192 to 345 matches the Rfam family "5.8S ribosomal RNA". Lineage: Eukaryota; Fungi; Ascomycota; Sordariomycetes; Hypocreales; Clavicipitaceae. The record is from RNAcentral.
AGGAAGUAAAAGUCGUAACAAGGUCUCCGUUGGUGAACCAGCGGAGGGAUCAUUACCGAGUUAUCCAACUCCCAACCCCUGUGAAUUAUACCUUUAAUUGUUGCUUCGGCGGGACUUCGCGCCCGCCGGGGACCCAAACCUUCUGAAUUUUUUAAUAAGUAUCUUCUGAGUGGUUAAAAAAAAUGAAUCAAAACUUUCAACAACGGAUCUCUUGGUUCUGGCAUCGAUGAAGAACGCAGCGAAAUGCGAUAAGUAAUGUGAAUUGCAGAAUUCAGUGAAUCAUCGAAUCUUUGAACGCACAUUGCGCCCGUCAGUAUUCUGGCGGGCAUGCCUGUUCGAGCGUCAUUACGCCCCUCAAGUCCCCUGUGGACUUGGUGUUGGGGAUCGGCGAGGCUGGUUUUCCAGCACAGCCGUCCCUUAAAUUGAUUGGCGGUCUCGCCGUGGCCCUCCUCUGCGCAGUAGUAAAACACUCGCAACAGGAGCCCGGCGCGGUCCACUGCCGUAAAACCCCCCAACUUUUUAUAGUUGACCUCGAAUCAGGUAGGACUACCCGCUGAACUUAAGCAUAUC